This 478-nucleotide ribosomal RNA is filed under the name uncultured bacterium. RNAcentral's name for it is "partial 16S ribosomal RNA". It matches the Rfam family "Bacterial small subunit ribosomal RNA", at positions 28 to 523 of the family's 1533-position model. The record is from RNAcentral.
GACGAACGCUGGCGGCGUGCUUAACACAUGCAAGUCGAACGGUAAGGCCCUUCGGGGUACACGAGCGGCGAACGGGUGAGUAACACGUGGGUGAUUUGCCCUGCACUUCGGGAUAAGCCUGGGAAACUGGGUCUAAUACCGGAUAGGACCAUUGCCUGCAUGGGUGGUGGUGGAAAGCUUUUGCGGUGUGGGAUGGGCCCGCGGCCUAUCAGCUUGUUGGUGGGGUGAUGGCCUACCAAGGCGACGACGGGUAGCCGGCCUGAGAGGGUGACCGGCCACACUGGGACUGAGAUACGGCCCAGACUCCUACGGGAGGCAGCAGUGGGGAAUAUUGCACAAUGGGCGCAAGCCUGAUGCAGCGACGCCGCGUGAGGGAUGGCGGCCUUCGGGUUGUAAACCUCUUUCAGCACCGACGAAGCGCAAGUGACGGUAGGUGCAGAAGAAGGACCGGCCAACUACGUGCCAGCAGCCGCAGUAA